AAUUCUUUCCAAACUUGUUUG
This 21-nucleotide unclassified non-coding RNA is filed under the name Dictyostelium discoideum. The record is from RNAcentral. Lineage: Eukaryota; Evosea; Eumycetozoa; Dictyosteliales; Dictyosteliaceae.